GAGGGUAUAACUCAGUGGUUUAGAGCACAUGCUUAGCAUCCUGGGUUCAAUCCCCAGUACCUCCA
Molecule: transfer RNA, 65 nt
Filed under: Camelus bactrianus (Bactrian camel)
Lineage: Eukaryota; Metazoa; Chordata; Mammalia; Artiodactyla; Camelidae
Also listed under: 2 other names
Rfam family: tRNA
About the family: Transfer RNA (tRNA) molecules are approximately 80 nucleotides in length.
Source: Rfam by way of RNAcentral